This 378-nucleotide ribosomal RNA is filed under the name uncultured Nitrospina sp. Its description in RNAcentral is "bacterial SSU rRNA". It matches the Rfam family "Bacterial small subunit ribosomal RNA", at positions 29 to 410 of the family's 1533-position model. The record is from RNAcentral. Lineage: Bacteria; Pseudomonadati; Nitrospinota; Nitrospinia; Nitrospinales; Nitrospinaceae.
AACGAACGCUGGCGGCGUGCUUAACACAUGCAAGUCGAACGAGAAAGUCCUUCGGGCGGAGUAAAGUAGGCGCAAGGGUGGAGUAACACGUGAACAAUCUACCUUUGUAUACUGGGAGUAACUUGGCAAUACCGGAUAAGACCACGUCUCAUAAGGGAUGCGGUAAAAGGAAAUCUCAACUUCCGAUCAUUGAUGAGUUCGCGGACCAUUAGCUAGUUGGUGAGAUAAAAGCUCACCAAGGCAAUGAUGGUUAGCCGGCCUGAGAGGGUGAACGGCCACACUGGAACUGAGACACGGUCCAGACUCCUACGGGAGGCAGCAGUGGGGAAUUUUGCGCAAUGGGCGAAAGCCUGACGCAGCAACGCCGCGUGAGUGAUG